RNAcentral lists this ribosomal RNA (392 nucleotides) under Arcocellulus sp. Its description in RNAcentral is "partial small subunit ribosomal RNA". It matches the Rfam family "Eukaryotic small subunit ribosomal RNA", at positions 582 to 975 of the family's 1831-position model. Lineage: Eukaryota; Bacillariophyta; Thalassiosirophyceae; Cymatosirales; Cymatosiraceae. The record is from RNAcentral.
AUUCCAGCUCCAAUAGCGUAUAUUAAAGUUGUUGCAGUUAAAAAGCUCGUAGUUGGAUUUCUGGUGGGAGCGAUCGGUCUGGCGCUUAGCGCGAGUACUUGCAUCGUCUCCGGCCAUCCUUGGGGAGAGUUUGUCUGGCAUUAAGUUGUCGGGCAGAGGAUCCUCAUCGUUUACUGUGAAAAAAUUAGAGUGUUCAAAGCAGGCUUAUGCCGUUGAAUAUAUUAGCAUGGAAUAAUAAGAUAGGACCUUGGUACUAUUUUGUUGGUUUGCGCACCAAAGUAAUGAUUAAUAGGGAUAGUUGGGGGUGCUAGUAUUGAGCGGCCAUAGGUGAAAUUCUUGGAUUCGCUCAAGACUAACUUAUGCGAAAGCAUUCACCAAGGAUGUCUUCAUUA